Molecule: ribosomal RNA, 477 nt
Filed under: uncultured bacterium
Lineage: Bacteria
Description: partial 16S ribosomal RNA
Rfam family: Bacterial small subunit ribosomal RNA
Source: RNAcentral
GAUAAACGCUGGCGGCGUGCAUAACACAUGCAAGUCGAACGAUGAAGAUUAAAAGAUUUCUUCGGAAUGAACUUAAUUGGAUUAGUGGCGGACGGGUGAGUAACGCGUGAGUAACCUGCCUUGUACAAGGGGAUAGCCGUUGGAAACGACGAAUAAUACCCUAUGACAUCAAAUAAUCGCAUGAUAAUUUGAUCAAAGAUUUAUCGGUAUAAGAUGGACUCGCGUCUGAUUAGCUAGUUGGUAGAGUAAAAGCCUACCAAGGCAACGAUCAGUAGCCGGCUUGAGAGAGUGUACGGCCACAUUGGGACUGAGACACGGCCCAGACUCCUACGGGAGGCAGCAGUGGGGAAUUUUGCACAAUGGGGGAAACCCUGAUGCAGCGACGCCGCGUGAUUUAGAAGGCCUACGGGUUGUAAAAAUCUUUUGUAUGGGAAGAAAAUGACAGUACCAUACGAAUAAGGACCGGCUAAGUACGUG